UGAAGCGGAAAAGCUCAAUUUGAAAGCUAGCACCUUCGGUGCUUCGCGUUGUAAUUUGAAGAUAGUUUCCUUGAGUAGUCCUUUAUCUAUGUUCCUUGGAACAGGACGUCAUAGAGGGUGAGAACCCCGUAUGAUUUUGGAUACUACUCUUUGUGGGAUUCUAUCGAAGAGUCG
RNAcentral lists this ribosomal RNA (174 nucleotides) under uncultured Saccharomycopsis. RNAcentral's name for it is "partial 26S ribosomal RNA". It matches the Rfam family "Eukaryotic large subunit ribosomal RNA", at positions 94 to 267 of the family's 3401-position model. The record is from RNAcentral. Lineage: Eukaryota; Fungi; Ascomycota; Saccharomycetes; Ascoideales; Saccharomycopsidaceae.